CAAUAGCGUAUAUUUAAGUUGUUGCAGUUAAAAAGCUCGUAGUUGGAUUUCGGGUGGGACGCAGCGGUCUCGCAUUGCGUUUGUACUGCUGCAGCCCUCCUUCUUGCCGGGGGCGGCCUCUCGGACUUCACUGUCUGGGGGUCAGAAUCGGCGAUGUUACUUUGAGUAAAUUAGAGUGUUCAAAGCAAGCUUACGCUCUGAAUAUAAUAGAAUGGGAUAACACGACAGGACUCUGGCCUAUCGUGUUGGUCUAUAGGACCAGAGUAAUGAUUAAGAGGGACAGUCGGGGGCAUUCGUAUUCCGUUGUCAGAGGUGAAAUUCUUGGAUUUACGGAAGACGAACAUCUGCGAAAGCAUUUGCCAAGGAUGUUUUCAUUGA
RNAcentral lists this ribosomal RNA (378 nucleotides) under uncultured eukaryote. RNAcentral's name for it is "partial 18S ribosomal RNA". It matches the Rfam family "Eukaryotic small subunit ribosomal RNA", at positions 592 to 976 of the family's 1831-position model. The record is from RNAcentral.